GACGUUACCCUGCCAUAAUGUGAUGUGUUUCCAGUGCCAAUAAAAAGUAACCCAUCCAAUGGUAUUUAACAUCCAAAAACCCGUCAUCAGUUCGGAUUGCAGGCUGCAACUCGCCUGCAUGAAGACGGAAUCGCUAGUAAUCGCCGGUCAGCCAUACGGCGGUGAAUUCGUUCUCGGGCCUUGUAC
RNAcentral lists this non-coding RNA (186 nucleotides) under Corchorus olitorius. Its description in RNAcentral is "Bacterial small subunit ribosomal RNA". It matches the Rfam family "Bacterial small subunit ribosomal RNA", at positions 1198 to 1386 of the family's 1533-position model. Lineage: Eukaryota; Viridiplantae; Streptophyta; Magnoliopsida; Malvales; Malvaceae. The record is from Rfam by way of RNAcentral.